AGAGUUUGAUCCUGGCUCAGGACGAACGCUGGCGGCGUGCCUAAUACAUGCAAGUCGAACGAGAAAAUCUUACACCGGAUGCUUGCAUCCACCGUAAGAAUUUCGAGUGGCGGACGGGUGAGUAACACGUGGGUAACCUGCCCAAAAGAAGGGGAUAACAUUUGGAAACAAGUGCUAAUACCGUAUAACCAUGACAAGCGCAUGCUUGUGAUGUGAAAGAUGGUUCUGCUAUCGCUUUUGGAUGGACCCGCGGCGUAUUAACUAGUUGGUGAGGUAAAGGCUCACCAAGGUGAUGAUACGUAGCCGAACUGAGAGGUUGAUCGGCCACAAUGGGACUGAGACACGGCCCAUACUCCUACGGGAGGCAGCAGUAGGGAAUCUUCCACAAUGGGCGCAAGCCUGAUGGAGCAACGCCGCGUGAAUGAAGAAGGUCUUCGGAUCGUAAAGUUCUGUUGUUAGAGAAGAACACGUGUGAGAGUAACUGUUCAUGCGUUGACGGUAUCUAACCAGCAAGUCACGGCUAACUACGUGCCAGCAGCCGCGGUAAUACGUAGGUGGCAAGCGUUGUCCGGAUUUAUUGGGCGUAAAGGGAACGCAGGCGGUCUUUUAAGUCUGAUGUGAAAGCCUUCGGCUUAACCGGAGAUGUGCAUUGGAAACUGGAAGACUUGAGUGCAGAAGAGGAGAGUGGAACUCCAUGUGUAGCGGUGAAAUGCGUAGAUAUAUGGAAGAACACCAGUGGCGAAAGCGGCUCUCUGGUCUGUAACUGACGCUGAGGUUCGAAAGCGUGGGUAGCGAACAGGAUUAGAUACCCUGGUAGUC
RNAcentral lists this ribosomal RNA (819 nucleotides) under uncultured bacterium. RNAcentral describes it as "bacterial SSU rRNA". It matches the Rfam family "Bacterial small subunit ribosomal RNA", at positions 8 to 795 of the family's 1533-position model. The record is from RNAcentral.